Molecule: non-coding RNA, 96 nt
Organism: Acanthosepion pharaonis
Lineage: Eukaryota; Metazoa; Mollusca; Cephalopoda; Sepiida; Sepiidae
Source: the annotation of a GenBank genome assembly
AUAAAACACCGACUCUCGUACGAUCACCGAAGUUAAGCAACCUCGAGACUGGUCAGUACCUAGAUGGGUGACCGCUUGGGAGUACCGGGUGCUAUA